Molecule: ribosomal RNA, 335 nt
Filed under: uncultured bacterium
Lineage: Bacteria
Description: bacterial SSU rRNA
Rfam family: Bacterial small subunit ribosomal RNA
Source: RNAcentral
ACUCCUACGGGAGGCAGCAGUAAGGAAUAUUGCGCAAUGGGCGAAAGCCUGACGCAGCGACGCCGCGUGGGGGAUGAAGGUUCUCGGAUUGUAAACCCCUUUCGUGAGGAAAGAUAAAGUGGGUUACCACUUGGACGGUACCUCAAGAAGAAGCCACGGCUAACUUCGUGCCAGCAGCCGCGGUAAUACGAAGGUGGCGAGCGUUGUUCGGAUUUACUGGGCGUAAAGAGCACGUAGGCGGUUAGGUAAGCCUCUUGGGAAAGCUCCCGGCUUAACCGGGAAAGGUCGAGGGGAACUACUUAGCUAGAGGGCGGGAGAGGAGCGCGGAAUUCCCG